UACGGAGGGCGCUAGCGUUGUUCGGAAUUACUGGGCGUAAAGCGUACGUAGGCGGCUUUGUAAGUUAGAGGUGAAAGCCUGGAGCUCAACUCCAGAAUUGCCUUUAAGACUGCAUCGCUUGAAUAUGGGAGAGGUGAGUGGAAUUCCGGGUGUAGAGGUGAAAUUCGUAGAUAUUCGGAAGAACACCAGUGGCGAAGGCGGCUCACUGGACCGGUAUUGACGCUGAGGUGCGAAAGCGUGGGGAGCAAACAGG
This 253-nucleotide ribosomal RNA is filed under the name uncultured bacterium. RNAcentral's name for it is "partial 16S ribosomal RNA". It matches the Rfam family "Bacterial small subunit ribosomal RNA", at positions 524 to 776 of the family's 1533-position model. The record is from RNAcentral.